This 688-nucleotide ribosomal RNA is filed under the name uncultured bacterium. RNAcentral's name for it is "bacterial SSU rRNA". It matches the Rfam family "Bacterial small subunit ribosomal RNA", at positions 112 to 811 of the family's 1533-position model. The record is from RNAcentral.
AACACGUGGGCAACCUGCCCCCUCCACCGGGACAGCCUCGGGAAACCGUGGGUAAUACCGGAUACUCCGGGACGGCCGCAUGGCCGGCCCGGGAAAGCCCAGACGGGAGGGGAUGGGCCCGCGGCCUGUUAGCUAGUCGGCGGGGUAACGGCCCACCGAGGCGAUUAUGGGUAGCCGGGUUGAGAGACCGACCGGCCAGAUUGGGACUGAGACACGGCCCAGACUCCUACGGGAGGCAGCAGUGGGGAAUCUUGCGCAAUGGGCGGAAGCCUGACGCAGCGACGCCGCGUGCGGGACGAAGGCCUUCGGGUCGUAAACCGCUUUCAGCAGGGACGAGGCCCUCACGGUGACGGUACCUGCAGAAGAAGCCCCGGCUAACUACGUGCCAGCAGCCGCGGUAAUACGUAGGGGGCGAGCGUUAUCCGGAUUCAUUGGGCGUAAAGCGCGCGUAGGCGGCCUGUUAGGUCGGGGGUCAAAUACCGGGGCUCAACCCCGGUCCGCCCCCGAUACCGGCAGGCUUGAGUCUGGUAGGGGAAGGCGGAAUUCCCAGUGUAGCGGUGGAAUGCGCAGAUAUUGGGAAGAACACCGGCGGCGAAGGCGGCCUUCUGGGCCACGACUGACGCUGAGGCGCGAAAGCUAGGGGAGCGAACAGGAUUAGAUACCCUGGUAGUCCUAGCCGUAAACGAUG